RNAcentral lists this long non-coding RNA (1449 nucleotides) under Strigops habroptila (Kakapo). RNAcentral describes it as "lncRNA (ENSSHBG00005002801.1)". The record is from RNAcentral. Lineage: Eukaryota; Metazoa; Chordata; Aves; Psittaciformes; Psittacidae.
UUUUUUUUUUUUUUUUUAAAAUAGAGCCUCCAUGUGGAAGGCUUCUAUGCUUGGGAGGGAGGGACUACAGCACACCUUAACCAAGUGCCUAAAAGUUAGAUGGGCUGAAUGUAGGCAAUUCUUUAGAUCUCUAGUUGUUGCAAAGGCUUUUUGCUGUGGCUGCAUAUGCUGUCCUAGCAAAACUGGCCAGGAUGAUGGGAAUGUCUGACUACCAUUUGAAAGUAGAGUCUUGCAUGGCAGCUGCAAACUGCUACUUUGGUAGUGCUUGAGAAUGGCUGCACUGAUUCUGUAGACCAGCUUUUAAAGAGAAUGUACUGAAGAGACAGGCAAGGUAGGAGCAAUGGUUGCUGCUCUGAACUAAUUACUUCUUCUGCCUGAGUGUGCAGAGAGAUCUUGUCUAGUAGGUAAAUGCUUCUUACCAUCUUAUCUGUCAUUCACUCACGGUUGGUAGGGUAGUUCAUUUAAGAACAGCUGCUUUUAGCUUAUUCAGUGUGCUCUGUGCUUGCUAGCAAAGAGACCUCAUUGCUGCAAGGGGUUCUUGGCUUGAUUAGAAAUUGUCUGGCAGUGUGCAGUGUUGGUAUGCCCUGUAACUGAAUCUGCCUGGAGGUAUCUAAUUAUUAACUGACUUCAGUACCACAUCAACCUCGAGUAAAUGUAUCCUCUGUACAGGACUUUAGCUUUGUUCCCUUCUGCAUAGUGACUUAUCUAGAGAAGUGAAAUGGUGUCAUCAAGGAUUUCUUUUAUUUUAAUUUUUUUUUCCUUCCUCUCCCCCCCCGUGAGUGUGUGUGUGUGGCUUUUGCUUUUUCCAAAUGUGAAAGUGUGGGCUGGAUACACUUGGUGCAUGGCUUAGAAACAUGGGACUGGAAAGAACUUCCUGGGUCAUCAGAUCCAGUCCCCUGCUAUUGCAGGCAACCGUGUCAUAUAAUCCUUUUAAUAAACUGAUCAAGCUUAACCACCUGCUUGUAAGUGGCUUGUUUUCAUGGAAGUUCUGUAACUCAUGUUGCUCUCAACUGAUGCAAGUAAUAUAUGAAAUAUGAAGUUAAUCAAAAGGUCCUCCAGCUUAGCUUUAGGUUUACCAUUACACUUAUUUAACUGACUUUAUUGAACCUGUUAUUCUUUGCACAACACUCAGGAAAGUGUUGAAUCUUUACACCCCCUUGCUAUGAAUAAGAGUUGGUGUGCUUGCUUAUUUUUUUUAAUGGAAAAGAUGGAUGUCUGGCUUGUUGAAAUUUGUUAGAUAUGUUAAUUGUCAAGGCAAGAAGCAAUUGAGUUACUUGUAUUUGAUACAUAAAUUUAAGGCUAGAGUAUACAUAACCAUUUUUAAAACACAUCAACUUGCAGUGUAGUUUUAUAUUUAAUACUGAAAUUGUACUGCUAAAAUUUAAACUGCUGUUAAUCAUAUUCCUCUUCUGAUCAUAAUGAAAAAAUAAAGGGUAAGAAAAUGCUUAA